Equus caballus (horse) is the source of this 4498-nucleotide long non-coding RNA. The record is from Ensembl. Lineage: Eukaryota; Metazoa; Chordata; Mammalia; Perissodactyla; Equidae.
GAUGAACAUAAGGUCAUUCCUCAGCUGGCGCACAGAUGAGAACUGACUUCUGAGAAGCUACAAGGAUUGUUUGGCAAGAGGCCUGGAAUGACUCACGGCACAUGCAGAUGACACAAUAUUGCAAAGAGUUCAGGAGAACAUUCUUUCCAUUUCUGUGCAGAAUGCAAUGACUGCAACCACAGGGCUCUGGAAGGUCUUCGGAGGUGGAGGUGCUGGCCAUGCCUGCCGGAGUUCAUCUUUGUAGAAUGCAGCAGCACAGUGGAGGGAAGGUGGCUACUUCACAAAAAUCUGUGGGCAGCAACUUAAACGGUGAAACCACAGACUAAGACAAGCCUUGGAGAUCUCUAACUGCCUAUAGAAGAAGUGAUACUGAGGAGGAAGGAAACAACCCCAGAUCUAAAUAAGCUGGAAAAGAAGGCACGUGAAUUCCAAAGUCUUUUUUUUCAGAAUCAAGGUGUUUUACCACCCAACUUUGGGUUUAGAAAAGUGAAGAAAGCAUUAAAAUCCUGUCUAAAAACCAAAAUCACCAUAAAGAUAAAGAGAGUUGAAACUUCUAUGAUGAAUAGGAGUUGCAGCUCCUUCAGCCUGAAGAGCCAGAGCAAGGAUGACAGCGUGAGCGAAAACGCCAAGGGCAUCAGACAGGCUUGGUCUUUCAACUUGCAGCCUAUUCGUCUAAAGGUACAAUUGUCACAGUCACCUGCUGGUCUUUACACACAUUCACAGUCUGAGUGAAGAAUUGUAACCUUUGGAUAAAGAGAAGAGAAGCAGCUUUAUCAUCUGUAUCAGGCAGUUGUACACUACUCAACUAAGAGAGACCAGGAAUUACUUUCAAAAGCUUCUUCUCCAAUAUACCAGUAAGGACUCUCAGUGGAUCAAUGUCCACAGAUGCAGGCGAAGGGCCUUACCAACCUCCACCACAUCACCUGGUUCUGGUGCUAGAGGAUGUUUUCAAACACUGGCAGUGUGGGAGUAACUAAUCAGGAAGAUUUAGACUAGAAAUCUUCCCUCUGGAUAACUAAACAAAAAUAGAGGAUAAUGGAGCUGAACUAGUUUUGCCGCGGAGAACAAUCAGAAUGCCUUCUAUCACCAUUGCCCAAAUAUUCCCAUUAUGUAAAGAAAUGUAUGGCUUGCUCCCAUCCUAGAGUUGCUUAAUUGUUUCAGUUGUCUUUUUCUUCUUCUCCAAAUAGAUUUUACAUUUGUAACGGGUAAGAAUUGAAACUUGUAUUAUAUUUCUUUUCUAUACACAAUGCUACUCCCUUUGACCUGCUCUGAUUUCCAUAAGGAUAAUUACCCAUAUAUCAAUUCUAUAACCCACACUUCCUUUCCUUACUCCAUAAGUAUGAGGACAGAGAGACCCUUUCAAGAAUAGACAGAUAACUACUCCCUGGGCAUUGUUUAGGGAUUAUCAGAAUGGUCCUUCUGGUAUUUUAGGGCACUAUUGUCAUAUUUCUAACUUGAGAGGUUAAAAUCAAAAUGCAAUUCUCCAGAAUAACCUAGUGCACACACACACAUACACACACACACACACAGAGGAGAUAAUAAAGUCUUGAAAUAAUUCAAUUCCAUUUAAAAUUUUAUUAAACCUUUAUUGCAUGGGAGAUACCGGGCUAGGUGCUGCAGGUAAUACAGAAUUGAGCAAGACCUGGCUUUGGCCUGCAAGAGUCCACUCUCUGGUAAAGGAGACAGACAGCGACGUAAAUAACUCCAAGAUGAGACACUUUGUAAUAAACACAACCCUGGAAGAAAAUAAAACAUUAUCAGAGUGUCCAUUAUAUACGUAAUUACAGAGGUAUCAAAUCACUAGGUCUACACUUUAAACUAUAUAAAUAGGAGUUUGAACGAGAUCACCUCUCUUUCUGCACACAGAGUGCAGCACAGCUCUGUGUAUUCGUUGACCUUUAUUCCAAAAUUGUCUCUUUGUAAUACAGUUUUCUAAGUUGAUUUCAAGUGUCUGUUGAUCUUUCUUGCUAAAUUAGCAUCUCUGUCUCUGAAUGUCAUUUUCUCUGUUAUAACUCGUUCAUUCUCCCCGCCCCCCCCCCACCCAGGCUUCUCUCUCCUUCUAUCCUCCUUUACCUAUCUUUCCUCUUCAUUUUAUUGUUGUAUUUCCUAUUUGUCCGCUUUCUUCUGUACCGCGAUAUUUUCCCGGACACAAUGAUUUCUUUUCUUGUAUUGUUAUCCAUGUGGCGAGAGAAGUGAUUUUCUUUUGAAGGGAAAAUAUUGUCAGGAGGACAAUAAUCCCCCUCAAAAUAAUCCCCUUAGUUCUGCAUCUUGCUGGUUCUUAGAAACAGGAACAAGCACAUAUCUUCUUUUCUAAUUGUCCACGGCUCUAUUGAGAAAGCUUCCGGUCUUUCUAUAUAAUGAGUAGUUGACAAAGGUAAGAGCAGAGACACGACCUAACGACUUUUGGCCAGUGCGAUGCUGGGCACAUCAGAGGAGAUCAAUAGGCACUCACUGGUUGGUAACUGAAGCUCCUCUGUUAGAACACACAGUGAAUGUCUGUAAGCACCCACUACUUCAGAUUGUAGUCUCCUGUAUUUGCCGUACACCUUAUUCACACGCAGUACCUCAUUGGAUCCCAGUCAUAGAGCUGUGAGACAGUCUGCUCCUGCUGAAGUCUGGUGACAUCAGGUGACACUAUGAGUGUCCCUGAGAAUCUGGUACUGGAACCUUGGUCUCUGACUCCAAAUACAGUACUUUUUACUUCUAGUCUAGCAUCUGACCCCCUGGUACCAACAUUUAGAACUUGAGCGAGACGUGCUGCAGUUGUUUUAAAUUCAUUUGUUAAUAAUUUGAUUUUCCACUCUAAAAUGCUCAUGAUUGAAAAGAAACAUUUCGAUUCAAAUAUAACUUUUUUUCCUGUUUCCUCCUUUAAAAUAUGCUCUGCUGAUUUUGAUGAGCAGAAAAAUAUUGUAACUAUGGGUUGGCUUGUAGUAGAGAUGCUUCACUGACCAAACAUGAGACGGAAGUUCAAGGAGCAUCAGUGGAGAAAAGGGAGCUCUCCUCAUUAAUAAAAGCAAUUAGUGUGUCCUCAGCUGAGCAGCCAGCUAGCCUGGGGUGUUCUCCACGCACUGCAGGCAUCUGAGCGUGGUCUGUUAACUAGGCAAGCUCUUUUUGUCAGGACACAAAAUAUUGUCAUUGAUUUUAAUUGUCUUCUCCACUUUACGACUCCCAAUUCACAGCUGAUGGUGCUUCAGGGAGAGUUUGCUUUUUGGAGAGAACUUUCACUGUGUCCACCCUCUGAGACAGCAAGAGUAGUCUGCAUUUUGAAAAAUUGAAGUGGGACAUUUAAUUUCUCUAAAGAUUAAAGCAAAAACUUCCAUCCUGAGUGACUUACUUUGAGUUAACCACGGCUGCUGGAAAGCUACAGGUGGAAACGAUGGUCAAACCAUUGAUAUCUUCUGUCACAUCUCUUAAAAUUACGUCUCAGAACAGCAAGUCCAGCAUAGGAGGGGAAGAUUUGGAGCUUCCAAGUAAGACUAUGGGUGGGAUUCCCCCAGUCACUGGGACCAAGAAAACCACACAGUUUGGAGAAUUUAUAGCACGUCCUGGCCCUUGUAUAACUUCCUCAUUACUUAGCAGAGCAGGGUUUGGCCUGUUCUUUCAGAUGUCAAGGAACAGACCCAACUCCAGUGUCUUUGUUGAAUGAUGAGUUCAUUGUAAAUGUGCAUGGGAAUAAAAAGGAAGAGAAAAAUGUCAUAUCUGCCAUAAAUCGCCUCCUCAUGGACAAUUGGAACUGAGCCAUUGCUGUCCAGGGCACAGCAGUAGCUCGAGUCAGCCUGCAACAGUGCUGGUGGCCUAACAGCCACUCAAGUUGUUCAAAACUCAGCUCUCCUUUCCCUGCUGCUAUUUUGUCUGCGCUAAUGAAGAACUGACAUUUAUUUUUCUUUCUCUAAUUCUUGAAUUCAGCUUUUACUUUCUUUUGGCUUCUACUACUACCAUCUCUGUGCGUCUCAACUCUUCUAUGCAGCUGUAGUGAAUUUUUGUCAUUUUCUGAUUGUCCAGAAUCUCACCACUACCUUCCUUCCUAAUCACAUUAAAUCCUCUUUAUAGGGAAUUCUUGAUUAUGUUCCAUCUUGGUGGAGAGCAUCCCUUACCUCCACUGCAGAAAUUAAGGGGUCUUGAACUUCCCUCUCCCUGCCUUGUAGAACUCAGGGGGUAAGCACUGCCUUAGAUUUUGCCAAUAUGAUUAUUUCUUCUCAAACUUCAAAUCUUGAGCAGAUGAUGCAAGAAUUUGAAAAUGGUUAGAGAGCUUAUUCAUCUCAGCAGCAGGAGUAUGUGCAGUACCUAUUGUUCCUGUGCAUGACCUUGACUCCUGCUUAUUUUCCAGACUCUAUACGUUUCCCAUACAUCGCCUAUAUUUUCUUUUUGUUGCUUCUUAGAGAUAUCUUUCCAGUAAAUUUCCUUUUCUUGUAAAACAUUAGACUGUAAGUGCCACAAGGACUGGGAAAUUUUCCUGCUUUGUUCACUGUAAGGAUUUAGUGCAUCAAGCGUGUCUGAC